GGCAGAGUCAGCGGCGGCAGCAUGAGGCUGUUCGGGAAGCACGUGUUCCCGAGGCAGAUCGCCCUGGUCGCCUCAGGGGUGCUGUUCUUCGGGGCGACGACGUAUGACGUGCACCGGUCCAUCAAGAACAACGAGCAGCCGCCGACCAGGGAGCAAAUGGAGGCGCUGCAGGACUACAUCAACUCCAAGAAGCAGUAAGUAGGUUUCGAUUUGCGGCACCUCCUCAUAUGAUGGUGCGUGCUAGGUGUUUGCAAAUAAGAUUGGAGCAAAAGGGGACAUCGCCUUCUUCUCGGGGAGGCUGGAGGUCAAGUGGGGUGCGUGCUAUGUGUUCGACGUUAUUUCCAUGAGAACUUCAAUGGUAUAAGUGUAAAUCGAUGUUUUUUUUUUUGAAAAUGUGUAAAUCAAUGUGUAUGGCUAUGUAGUUGUAAAGCUCUGCUUGGGUUUAUAGACGUUUCAGUGUGUGUAAAUCAACGUGGUUGUGUAAUUGUAAAGGGUUUGUAGACGUUCCCCCU
Molecule: long non-coding RNA, 512 nt
Organism: Setaria italica (foxtail millet)
Lineage: Eukaryota; Viridiplantae; Streptophyta; Magnoliopsida; Poales; Poaceae
Exons: 2
Source: RefSeq, a predicted model, not a curated record